RNAcentral lists this ribosomal RNA (511 nucleotides) under uncultured bacterium. RNAcentral describes it as "bacterial SSU rRNA". It matches the Rfam family "Bacterial small subunit ribosomal RNA", at positions 29 to 533 of the family's 1533-position model. The record is from RNAcentral.
AACGAACGCUGGCGGCGCGCCUAACACAUGCAAGUCGAACGAGAAUCCGGGGCAACCCGGUAGUAAAGUGGCAAACGGGUGAGGAAUACAUGGGUAACCUACCCUUGAGAAGGGAAUAACCCGCCGAAAGGUGAGCUAAUACCCUAUACGCUAUCUUUUUUUCGAAAAGGAUAGGAAAGCCGGGUCGAGGACCUGGUACUCAAGGAGGGGCUCAUGUCCUAUCAGCUUGUUGGUGGGGUAACGGCCUACCAAGGCUACGACGGGUAGCUGGUCUGAGAGGAUGAUCAGCCACACUGGCACUGAGAUACGGGCCAGACUCCUACGGGAGGCAGCAGUGAGGAAUAUUGCGCAAUGGGCGAAAGCCUGACGCAGCGACGCCGCGUGGGGGAUGAAGGUUUUCGGAUUGUAAACCCCUUUCAUGAGGAAAGAUAAAGUGGGUAACCACUUAGACGGUACCUCAAGAAGAAGCCACGGCUAACUUCGUGCCAGCAGCCGCGGUAAUGUCUAGAUG